Molecule: long non-coding RNA, 500 nt
Organism: Phymastichus coffea
Lineage: Eukaryota; Metazoa; Arthropoda; Insecta; Hymenoptera; Eulophidae
Exons: 3
Source: RefSeq, a predicted model, not a curated record
UCGAUAAAUUGGCGAGCGACGCAGUGCCAAGCCGAGUUCACCGUCAGCUGUCGUGCAAGCAGCAUCGAAUCGCAAGCUUUAUUAAAUUACUUAUUCGACAACCGAAAAACAUCAACAUGCCGAAGCCAGAUUGCGACAAGUGCACCGACAAAUGCCAGGACUGCAAGUGCGGAGACAACUGCAAGUGCAGCUCGGGAGGCAGCUGCGGAGAUAAAUGCGGCUGCAAGUCUGGCGGGCAGUGCAAGUGCGAUCCAUGCCAUUGCAAGUGAUGAUCCGAAGACGUUACUCUUCGCUAAUGUGCACUAUUACUUCAAUUCCUACAACACUAUCGAUUAAUCUCAGUCACAACAAUUUUUUUCUAUUCUUUUCGCGAAAGCACGUCUCAAAAUGCAUUACAUGCUCUCUAUACCUAUAUACAACAGACUAUACUGCACAUCAGCUGUUGAAGUGUUUGUUUUGCCAUUGAAAUGUUGAAUUAAUAAACCUGUAUUGAACAUCAA